This 422-nucleotide ribosomal RNA is filed under the name uncultured bacterium. RNAcentral's name for it is "partial 16S ribosomal RNA". It matches the Rfam family "Bacterial small subunit ribosomal RNA", at positions 359 to 773 of the family's 1533-position model. The record is from RNAcentral.
GAAUUUUGGACAACGGGGGCAACCCUGAUCCAGCCAUCCCGCGUGUGCGAUGAAGGCCUUCGGGUUGUAAUGCACUUUUGGCAGGGAAGAAAAGGCUCUGGCUACUACCUGGAGCUGCUGACGGUACCUGCAGACUAAGCACCGCCUAACUACGUGCCAGCCGCCGCGGUAAUACGUAGGGUGCAAGCGUGAAACGGCAGUACUGGGCGUAAGGCGUGCGCAGGCGGUUCGGCAAGAAGGAUGUGAAAUCCCAGGGCUUAACCUUGGAACUGCAUGCUUAACUGCCGGGCUAGAGUAUGUCAGAGGGGGGUAGAAUUCCGCGUGUAGCAGUGAAAUGCGUAGAGAUGCGGAGGAAUACCGAUGGCGAAGGCAGCCCCCUGGGAUAAUACUGACGCUCAUGCACGAAAGCGUGGGGAGCAAAC